GGGGGAGUACGACCGCAAGGUUGAAACUCAAAGGAAUUGACGGGGGCCCGCACAAGCGGUGGAGUAUGUGGUUUAAUUCGACGCAACGCGAAGAACCUUACCAGGUCUUGACAUUGAUGGACAGAACCAGAGAUGGUUCCUCUUCUUCGGAAGCCAGAAAACAGGUGGUGCACGGUUGUCGUCAGCUCGUGUCGUGAGAUGUUGGGUUAAGUCCCGCAACGAGCGCAACCCCUAUCUUAUGUUGCCAGCACUUUGGGUGGGGACUCAUGAGAGACUGCCGCAGACAAUGCGGAGGAAGGCGGGGAUGACGUCAAAUCAUCAUGCCCCUUAUGACCUGGGCUACACACGUACUACAAUGGGAGUUAAUAGACGGAAGCGAGAUCGCGAGAUGGAGCAAACCCGAGAAACACUCUCUCAGUUCGGAUCGUAGGCUGCAACUCGCCUACGUGAAGUCGGAAUCGCUAGUAAUCGCAGGUCAGCAUACUGCGGUGAAUACGUUCCCGGGCCUUGUAC
This 513-nucleotide ribosomal RNA is filed under the name uncultured bacterium. RNAcentral describes it as "bacterial SSU rRNA". It matches the Rfam family "Bacterial small subunit ribosomal RNA", at positions 875 to 1386 of the family's 1533-position model. The record is from RNAcentral.